CUGCAGACAUCUGGCCUGGGUCUUUGGCUAGCAAGGCUCUGUUAGGCCAAAGUUUCCAAGAGACUCAAUCCUCCUUGUCUGCCCUCUUGGAUCUUUCCUCCCCCCAGCCCCCACAACUAUUUAGAGCUCUAACUUGACAUUUUCUUAUUUUAUAUUGGCACACACCCAUGUAAAGCAAACAGAGCACACAGGAUGGAGGGGGAGGAGGAGGAGGUCAAGGCCCAUUUUGGAAUUAAAACCAACAGCCAGGGAAGCACAAGAGACCACGGUGGAUUUGGACAAGUUGAGCUGUGGGAGGAAGUGUCAGACAAGCCAAUUGUUUCCAGAUCUCAACAGGCUAGGGAAGGAGAAAGCGAACGUGGAGCUGAGCAGAAAGGCCAGGAUGAAGGAAUCACAGAGGUCAUAUGACUGAGUGGGUCCCAGGCUACCCAGGACAACUGUCAACUCGAAGCCUGUGUGCCUGAACGCCUAAGUCUUUGAAGUGUCCACUGAAUCCUGUGCACCGCAAAAGCCAUGACCAGAGAAAGAGAAAAAACCUCAUGGAACUAUCAACCAACUGAUAUGACACUCUCACAAAAUCCCAAGUCCUGAGGCAAAGAGAUAAAAUGCAAAAGGAGCGAGCCCCAGAGGCCAGAAGGACAUUAAUCCAGUAACGCUGAUGCUGCCCGAAACCCAUCUUUUAAAAAACGUAUUUGUCA
This 698-nucleotide long non-coding RNA is filed under the name Mus spicilegus (steppe mouse). Its description in RNAcentral is "lncRNA (ENSMSIG00000021805.1)". The record is from RNAcentral. Lineage: Eukaryota; Metazoa; Chordata; Mammalia; Rodentia; Muridae.